This 455-nucleotide ribosomal RNA is filed under the name uncultured bacterium. RNAcentral's name for it is "bacterial SSU rRNA". It matches the Rfam family "Bacterial small subunit ribosomal RNA", at positions 355 to 825 of the family's 1533-position model. The record is from RNAcentral.
UCGAGAAUCUUCGGCAAUGAGCGCAAGCUUGACCGAGCGACGCCGCGUGCGGGAUGAAGGCCUUCGGGUUGUAAACCGCUUUGGUCCGAAAGAAAGGGUAAAACUUGAUCGAUCGGAGAAACAAGGACGGGCUAAGUUCGUGCCAGCAGCCGCGGUAAGACGAACCGUCCAAACGUUAUUCGGAAUCACUGGGCUUAAAGGGCGCGUAGGCGGCCGAGCGGGUCGUGGGUGAAAUCCUCCAGCUUAACUGGAGAACUGCUUACGAUACCACUGCGGCUCGAGGAAGGAAGGGGUCAUGGGAACUGUCGGUGGAGCGGUGAAAUGCGUUGAUAUCGACAGGAACGCCUGUGGCGAAAGCGCAUGACUGGUCCUUUUCUGACGCUGAGGCGCGAAAGCCAGGGGAGCAAACGGGAUUAGAUACCCUAGUAGUCCCUGAGCGGGCUGGCAAGGCGCAU